Molecule: long non-coding RNA, 1370 nt
Organism: Schistocerca serialis cubense
Lineage: Eukaryota; Metazoa; Arthropoda; Insecta; Orthoptera; Acrididae
Exons: 3
Source: RefSeq, a predicted model, not a curated record
GUUUGGCUUUUUACAUCGGUAUGACUACAAGCAAGUUGUCAGUCAGGAUGAAAGGACAUUACCAGAGAGUGCAUACUGGCAACACUCAUUAUCCUGUUGCAGAGGAUGCAUUACAACAUGACAGUCAUGACCUUGGUGCCUGUUUCACCACACGUGCCAUCUGUAUUCUUUCCCCAGUCACCAGUUUCUCAGAAUUCUGCAGACUGUGACCCUAAUAAUAAACUGAAGAAAAACAAAACAAAUGGAUGCGUUUCCUCAAACAUUUUAGAAAAUUUGUUUGCCAAGUCAGGAUAUUGUGCUGGUGAAUUUCUAAAGAAUUUAGAGGAAAAAAUCCAUCAAAAUAUGUUGUGUAGUGCUCAACAGAGGAAAAACAAUGAAAGAAAGUGUCAUUUUAUAUUCAACAGAAACUUUCAAAACGUACAAGAUUAAAACAACAUGCUGCACCUAUGUAGACAACAAUCCAUGAGUGGAGAGCUGCUAGUAUCUUAUAUUUUUAUGAAUUUUAAGUGGUACAUUUCCACUAUAUGUGGGGGACAAGAGCCCAGCAGAACUGCUACAUGGGACACCAACUGUGGACUCUCCUCCACAUGCUGCAUCUGCCACUGCAUCCAUCAGUGUCACCGGCUCCACAACGGUUCCAGCUGGGUGCAUCAGUCUGGGCUUGUGGUUUCAGCCUCUGACUGAACUGGGUUCCUGCCAUCAUCGAGCAUCACCAGGAACAGCACCUGUAUGUUGUCCACACUUCUGACAGGUGGAUAUCCCAUCAGUUCAACGAGCUGUGACCGUACAGCUGUUCUUGAUGGACCACCGCCUUCUCUUCCCUGCAGCCUAUUCCUGUGUCAUAGACAGUCUGGUUCACCCUGAAAGUGUCUGGCAGCUCGCUCUCAGGGGUUCGUGCCCCUGCCUCAUUCCUUGACUGUUGCCGCUGGGCAGGGCUGCUCUGGUUUGUUUCUGCCACUGCACCUGCCAUCACAGCUACCGCCACCUCUGUUGCUGAGUCAUGUAUGGCGGUUGUCUCUGACACCCCUGCUGACACAUCCAUCACUGACCCCUGACUUCAACAAAGACUUCGUUAUGGAAAUGCCAUCCCCAGUCCUGCUCAACGGCCUCUCACAAGAAGGGGGACAAUGUGCCAAUCUGUCCCCUCACAACUAAUGCCCCUACUUGCUGGUGACUGCCUGCCACAUGCUGCAGCAGCCACCAUUGUCAGUGAUGAAAUGGAUGUCAGUGCCAUCAUUGACAUUUUCUGUGACUCAUAAUCUCAGUGCCUUUGAGAUCAGUGCUUAUUUUCCAUGGUACCAGUCUUUUUUAGUGCCUUGUGCUUUUUUCUGUACCACGCAUUUUUUCUGUACCAUGUGUUUCUUUAUGUA